AUCCAACUGACGAGUGCCAAAUAGGUCGAGACGUGCUUCGAACUGGAU
Molecule: non-coding RNA, 48 nt
Filed under: Schistosoma margrebowiei
Lineage: Eukaryota; Metazoa; Platyhelminthes; Trematoda; Strigeidida; Schistosomatidae
Source: RNAcentral